This 408-nucleotide ribosomal RNA is filed under the name uncultured bacterium. RNAcentral's name for it is "bacterial SSU rRNA". It matches the Rfam family "Bacterial small subunit ribosomal RNA", at positions 93 to 507 of the family's 1533-position model. The record is from RNAcentral.
AAGUGGCGAAAGGGGCAGUAAGGCAUGGAUAACCUACCUCGGGGAUCGGGAUAGCCUUCCUAACGGAAGGGUAAUACCGGGCGAGCUAACGAAGGGGCAUCUCUUUGUUAGGAAAUGAAUUUCGCCUUGAGAGGGGUUCAUGUAGUAUUAGCUUGUUGGUGGGGUAACGGCUCACCAAGGCCAAGAUGCUUAGCGGGUGUGAGAGUGCCGGCCCGCGCCACUGGCACUGAGACACUGGCCAGACUCCUACGGGAGGCUGCAGUCGAGGAUCUUCGGCAAUGGGCGCAAGCCUGACCGAGCGACGCCGCGUGUGCGAUGAAGGCCUUCGGGUUGUAAAGCACUGUCGAGGGGGAGAAAAGCCCGNCAGGGUCUGAUCUAUCCCUGGAGGAAGCACGGGCUAAGUUCGUG